GGGGAACAGGGUCACAUCACAGCAGUGAACAGCCUGUCAGAAAUCAUAGCACGUAAGCUGUCGUAACCGCAGCUUGUGUACUGCAUCAUCACUGUGUUUGUCACGUGACGCUGUUGCCCUUUUGGGCUUGAACUGAUGGUAAAACUAACGACAUUAUUAACUUUAUAUUUUAUAUAUACUUAAUAUAUAUCUUAAUAUUUACUUUGAAAACUAAAGCUCACGAUUAUGGUACGGGGCAUUACUUUUCCUAUGCAUGCUUGUGGUGUUCGGCCAAUCACAAUGCACUGGGUCAGCUGGCCAAUCAGAGCAGACUUUACUUGUCAGAAGGAGGGGCUUUGUUGAAAACGAUGCCUUGAGAGAGGCGGGGCAUAAAGGAACUACAAUAAUGUACAGUAUUUGAACAUUAAAGCAUGUCAACAUUUUCUGUUACACUAAAUACAUAAAAUAAUGAUCUUUAAAAUAGCAUCAUAUGACCCCUUUAAAUCUUGUCUUUGUUUUUAAUAAAGCACACAUGACUUUUAAAAGCCUUACAGUUGUGGAUGAUGUGAGUGAUCCUGUUCCAUUAAUCUGUAAUAUUUUUUUCUGUAAUAUGAAAAAAAAUAGUUCUGCACAAAUUUUAGAGAUGCACCAAAUGCUUUUUCAGUUUGAUGGGUCUACUCUGUAAUCAUAACUUAAGCUACCCUAAAAACCUCAAGUGUUCAUGGACACUGGAGCAAAGAGAUGUGUACUAUGCAUUCUUUCUAAGAGAGACUUCAUGUGUUGAAACCUUUUAACACUGGGCAACUGUGGUGCUUUUUUCUUUUUAUUUUGAGAAAUGUUAUUUAUUUUAAAGCAAUUAAUUUGGUUAUUUUUUAUUUCUUUUUACUCAGAGAGUGAGGCAAAUAUUAAGUGUUGCUUGUUAUACAAAGAGUUAAUUAAACUCUGUUGUGCUGUAGAUGCUAUAGUAUUUGUUAAAAAUGUUUGAAAACUGUUUUGUCCUUUACAUCUGGUUCAAAUUUCUAGUUAUGAAAUUCUAUUAUUUCAUGAUUCAUUUCUUACACUUAGGAGCUCUUGUCUUCAGUUUCUUCUGUCCUCUAUCCAGUUCCAUCGCUCUUCUAUCCAGUUCCAUCUUAGUUUUAUCCUGUUCCUUUGCUCUUCUGUCCUGUUUCAUCACAUUUUUAUUCAUUUCUAGUCUCAAAGCUAACUCCUUGGUUUAA
Long non-coding RNA from Cyprinus carpio (common carp), 1196 nucleotides. Lineage: Eukaryota; Metazoa; Chordata; Actinopteri; Cypriniformes; Cyprinidae. The record is from Ensembl.